Molecule: unclassified non-coding RNA, 527 nt
Filed under: Hevea brasiliensis (rubber tree)
Lineage: Eukaryota; Viridiplantae; Streptophyta; Magnoliopsida; Malpighiales; Euphorbiaceae
Source: RNAcentral
GAGGACUGGUUUGAAAAGAAUGGUGUUGGCGGCUCAUAUUCUGAUGAAAGUGUGGCUGAUGGAAUUCCUCGAAGAGUCUCAAACAUAAUUCCACGCCUGCCUAGUAAUGGCCAUGAGCUCCUGGAGCUUGCUGCAUCCUUCCAGUCUUCUCCUGGUAGACCAGCAACCAAGAUUCUUAGUGUUGCAAGGCGUGUCAGAAGUACUCUUAGGCAGGCUGAGAAACCUGGAUUUGUAUCUGCAUUUUGUCAAACUAACUGUGGGGAUGUUAGCCCUAAUGUGCUUGGAGCCUUCUGCACAGACACUGGGCUACCUUGUGACUUCAACCACAGUACCUGUGGUGGAAAGAAUGAGCUGUGCUAUGGCCGAGGACCUGGUUAUCCUGAUGAGUUUGAAAGUACACGGAUUAUUGGGGAGAGGCAAUUCCAAAAAGCUGUGGAACUUUUCAACAAAGCAUCUGAGCAAGUAAAUGGAAAGGUUGAUUAUCGUCACACCUUCCUAGACUUCUCCCAGCUUGAAGUGACACUUCC